UGUUGGGGUAACGGCCCAACAAGCCGAUAAUCGGUAGGGGUUGUGGGAGCAAGAGCCCGGAGUUGGAUUCUGAGACACGAAUCCAGGCCCUACGGGGCGCAGCAGGCGCGAAAACUUUACAAUGCGGGAAACCGUGAUAAGGGAACCCCGAGUGCCUGUAUAUGCAGGCUGUCCAGGUGUCUAAAAAACACCUGAAGAAAGGGCCGGGCAAGACCGGUGCCAGCCGCCGCGGUAAUACCGGCGGCUCGAGUGGUGGCCACUUUUAUUGGGCUUAAAGCGUUCGUAGCUGGGUUGUUAAGUCUCUUGGGAAAUCUGACGGCUUAACCGUCAGGCGUCUAAGAGAUACUGGCAAUCUUGGAACCGGGAGAGGUGAGGGGUACUUCGGGGGUAGGAGUGAAAUCCUGUAAUCCUCGAGGGACCACCUGUGGCGAAGGCGCAUCACCAGAACGGCUUCGACAGUGAGGGACGAAAGCUGGGGGAGCAAACCGGAUUAGAU
RNAcentral lists this ribosomal RNA (496 nucleotides) under uncultured microorganism. Its description in RNAcentral is "bacterial SSU rRNA". It matches the Rfam family "Archaeal small subunit ribosomal RNA", at positions 234 to 734 of the family's 1478-position model. The record is from RNAcentral.